This is a non-coding RNA of Biomphalaria glabrata, 83 nucleotides long. NCBI's taxonomy places the organism in Eukaryota, Metazoa, Mollusca, Gastropoda, Planorbidae. The record is from Rfam.
GGCACGAUGGCCGAGUGGUUAAGGCGUUGGACUUAAGAUCCAAUGGAAGUAUUUCCGCGUGGGUUCGAACCCCACUCGUGCUA